RNAcentral lists this unclassified non-coding RNA (665 nucleotides) under Hevea brasiliensis (rubber tree). Lineage: Eukaryota; Viridiplantae; Streptophyta; Magnoliopsida; Malpighiales; Euphorbiaceae. The record is from RNAcentral.
AGACAGUUACCUACAUGUUGCAGGUACAGAAAUUUAUAAUCACCACUUUCACUUAGAAUCCUUCGUUUUCUGGCAUUAAAAAUUGACCUAUCUCUAUUUUUCCCCCAUUAAUAAAAAGCUAAAAGUUUAUAAUAAUAUUUAACGGGUGAAGUAAGAUCCGGCAAACUUGUUAAGUUGUCAAACUAAUUAAUUACUUGAUUAUGCAAAGUGGUUUCUAUUCAUUCAGUCAAUCUCACCUGAUCUUAUAACAUUAAGAUAUUAUGGUGGCAAGCUACUGCUUAAUUAGUCAAGUGGAGGCAGGUGCUAAUACACUAGUAGUCUCAUACUCAAAUGUCUAUUUUGUAAUACAGUUAGGAGUUCAAAUUUUAAUAUUAGAUGCCAAAAAAAUAGGUCAAGUUCAUACAAACAUGCACUAUUGUCCAGGUUGACAAGUAUUGCAAGAAAACAAAACAUGCAGGGGUCCAAAAUUCUAUUCACUUGCACCAAAAGUGAAGAAAAAAACAACGUAUAAAACAAAACUUGACCUCGUGGGUUAGGGAAUGAUUAUUCUCUAGGGUGGGUGCAUUGAUUGGUGAUGAAGUUAUCUCAUUUAUGUGAGGAACACUUAUCUUAUUUUGAACGGAAACUGAUUGUUAAAUAAUCAGGGAGCUGUCACGCAUGAAGAU